This 69-nucleotide transfer RNA is filed under the name Diplospinus multistriatus (striped escolar). RNAcentral's name for it is "tRNA-Met". It matches the Rfam family "tRNA". Rfam says of the family: Transfer RNA (tRNA) molecules are approximately 80 nucleotides in length. The record is from RNAcentral. Lineage: Eukaryota; Metazoa; Chordata; Actinopteri; Scombriformes; Gempylidae.
AGUAAGAUCAGCUAAUUAAGCUUUCGGGCCCAUACCCCGGACAUGUUGGUUAAAGUCCCUCUUUUACUA